Non-coding RNA from Leptonychotes weddellii (Weddell seal), 628 nucleotides. NCBI's taxonomy places the organism in Eukaryota, Metazoa, Chordata, Mammalia, Carnivora, Phocidae. The record is from RefSeq and is a predicted model, not a curated record.
CAUGUUCAAGGUAAUUCAGAGGUCUGUGGGGCCAGCCAGCCUGAGUCUGCUCACCUUCAAAGUCUAUGCAUCACCUAAAAAAGACUCACCUCACAAAACUUCUGUGAAGGUUAAUGAGCUUUCACUCUACUCCGUCCCUGAGGGUCAAUCUAAAUAUGUGGAGGAGCCAAGGACCCCACUUGAAGAAAGCAUUUCACAUCUCCGAUGUUACUGCGAGCCAUAUACAAGUUGGUGUCAGGAAAUGUACUCACAAACUAAGCCCAGGAUGCAGAGCUUGGUUCAAUGGGGGUUAGGCAGCUAUGAGUAUCUCCAAAAUGCACCUCCUGGUUUUUUUCCAAGACUUGGUGUUAUUGGUUUUGCUGGCAUUGUUGGACUUCUUUUGGCUAGAGGUUCAAAAAUAAAGAAGCUGGUGUAUCCACCUGGAUUCAUGGGACUUGCUGCCUCUCUUUAUUAUCCACAACAAGCCAUUGUAUUUGUCCAGGUCAGUGGGGAGAAAUUAUAUGACUGGGGUUUACGAGGAUACAUAGUUGUAGAAGAUUUGUGGAAGGAGAACUUUCAAAAGCCAGGAAAUGUGAAGAAUUCACCUGGAAAUAAUUAGAAUGCUCCAUGCUCUGCCCAUUUUAAUCAG